Molecule: ribosomal RNA, 407 nt
Filed under: uncultured bacterium
Lineage: Bacteria
Description: partial 16S ribosomal RNA
Rfam family: Bacterial small subunit ribosomal RNA
Source: RNAcentral
AUUGAACGCUGGCGGCAGGCCUAACACAUGCAAGUCGAGCGGAGAGGCGGACGGGUGAGUAAUGCCUAGGAAUCUGCCCGGUAGUGGGGGAUAAAGUCCGGAACCGGGCGCUAAUACCACAUACUAUCAGAUGAGUCUAGGUCGGAUUAGCUGGUUGGUGGGGUAAAGGCUUACCAAGGCGACGAUCCGUAACUGGUCUGAGAGGAUGAUCAGUCACACGGGAACUGAGACACGGCCCAGACUCCUACGGGAGGCAGCAGUGGGGAAUAUUGGACAAUGGGCGAAAGCCUGAGCCAGCCAUGCCGCGUGUGUGAAGAAGGUCUUCGGAUUGUAAAGCACUUUUAGUUGGGAGGCGUUACCAACAGAAUAAGCACCGGCUAACUACGUGCCAGCAGCCGCGGUAAUAC